GUACCCUCAAGCUCUGCUUGGUGUUGGGUGUUUGUUCCGCCUCUGUGUGUGAACUCGCCUUAAAACAAUUGGCAGCCGGCGUACUUGUUUCGGAGCGCAGCACAUUUUUGCGCUUUAGACCAAUGUACAGCGGCAUCCAAGAAGCCUUCUUUAACGC
Molecule: unclassified non-coding RNA, 157 nt
Filed under: uncultured Mycocentrospora
Lineage: Eukaryota; Fungi; Ascomycota; Dothideomycetes; Mycosphaerellales; Mycosphaerellaceae
Description: partial internal transcribed spacer 2
Source: RNAcentral